Molecule: ribosomal RNA, 644 nt
Filed under: uncultured Bacteroides sp.
Lineage: Bacteria; Pseudomonadati; Bacteroidota; Bacteroidia; Bacteroidales; Bacteroidaceae
Description: bacterial SSU rRNA
Rfam family: Bacterial small subunit ribosomal RNA
Source: RNAcentral
GAUGAACGCUAGCUACAGGCUUAACACAUGCAAGUCGAGGGGCAUCAGGAAGAAAGCUUGCUUUCUUUGCUGGCGACCGGCGCACGGGUGAGUAACACGUAUCCAACCUGCCCUUUACUCGGGGAUAGCCUUUCGAAAGAAAGAUUAAUACCCGAUAGCAUAAUGAUUCCGCAUGGUUUCAUUAUUAAAGGAUUCCGGUAAAGGAUGGGGAUGCGUUCCAUUAGGUUGUUGGUGAGGUAACGGCUCACCAAGCCUUCGAUGGAUAGGGGUUCUGAGAGGAAGGUCCCCCACAUUGGAACUGAGACACGGUCCAAACUCCUACGGGAGGCAGCAGUGAGGAAUAUUGGUCAAUGGGCGCUAGCCUGAACCAGCCAAGUAGCGUGAAGGAUGAAGGCUCUAUGGGUCGUAAACUUCUUUUAUAUAAGAAUAAAGUGCAGUAUGUAUACUGUUUUGUAUGUAUUAUAUGAAUAAGGAUCGGCUAACUCCGUGCCAGCAGCCGCGGUAAUACGGAGGAUCCGAGCGUUAUCCGGAUUUAUUGGGUUUAAAGGGAGCGUAGGUGGACUGGUAAGUCAGUUGUGAAAGUUUGCGGCUCAACCGUAAAAUUGCAGUUGAUACUGUCAGUCUUGAGUACAGUAGAGGUGGGC